AUGCUGUCAGCGCGGCAGCACAGCCCGGAUGUGAGGUCAACUGCUCACCGGUCACAGCAAUGCACGGGUGGUUUGCCGCCAAUAAUCCAGAUUGAGAUAGAUACCAAAUACUUGCAAGGCAGCAGGCAGGUGAAACAUGCCAGUGACGCCGCACGAGGAGUGAUGAGAAACCAGAUAAACAGGUUCCGCGUUGGAGCCUGGAGAGGUGAAGCCAACCGUCCUUCGACUAGCAAAGGUACAGCUCACCGGCCUCAUGAUCUGGGUCUAAACGCCUGUGCAGACGAGCUUGCCCCCGAUAACGGAGGCACGAUUGCCUUGUAA
Molecule: ribosomal RNA, 321 nt
Filed under: Triticum aestivum (bread wheat)
Lineage: Eukaryota; Viridiplantae; Streptophyta; Magnoliopsida; Poales; Poaceae
Description: partial small subunit ribosomal RNA
Source: RNAcentral